Molecule: long non-coding RNA, 1509 nt
Filed under: Mus musculus (house mouse)
Lineage: Eukaryota; Metazoa; Chordata; Mammalia; Rodentia; Muridae
Description: long non-coding RNA chr4:133660401-133661910
Source: RNAcentral
GUCCUAGGAUUUGCAGCUGCUGGGGAAGAGGCUGCAGUCUGCCAGCUGGAGGGACACACUAGGGGAGAGGUGUUGUCUUUUGCCAAGAAGGGCACUUGGUGUCUUGGCAGAAGGCAGAGGGCUGCCCCAAUCUGUGUGUACAUUUUCAGUAGCAUUUGACUCUGGACCAAAUGCUUGGCUGUGCUAGUGCUGUGGUGCUGGGUGGGAAUGCUCGUUGGCCAGGCUGGCUGGAGGCUCCCACAGAGGGUGCUGGGCCUGGGCCAGGAGCUUCCCUUCAGCUGGCAAGUUGAGCUUUCUGUCACGGUCGGAGGGAGUGUGUCCAAAUUCCAACUCCGAGCUUUCCAGAAGCCACUGCUGACUGCCAUCUGUUUUGAAGAAUGCUGCUUAUUGGAAUUUUUGGCCCAAUGGGGAGUAAGGAUGGUGACACCGAGCCAAAGUUACCUGGCUCAAGAAUGCACAAACGCUGCGCAGCAGGGACACUGUCUUUCAUUUAUACAGGGUCUUAUUCUGUAGCUGCCCUCAAGCUCACCUCAAGCCUCAGCAUCCUGGAGUCAUCCUUCCUCAGGGGCAGGGUUACUCUUAGUAACCACAGGGAGCCAGGAAGCAGGGCAGAUGCUACAGUAGACAACCUUGGACUGACUUAGCUACAAGGUUCCCCCAUCAAGGCUGUGGGGUAGGUGCCUCUGACUCAUGCAAGUGUGAUCUUUGAGAAUGGAAAACCAGUCACCCUGGGUUACCCUUUUCCACCAGGUGUCAUUACUCUCCACGACAGCUUCUAUUCCGAGUUGUUCCCAGAGGUGGGGGGGAGGCUGUUUCCAAUUGAUCAAAGGAGGACUUUCCCAUUAGACCACUUGUGAGCCUCCAUUUAUCUUUUGUUUAAGGUAGCCUCAAGAUUUAAGGCCUAAAUCACACCCCAGGGAAGAAGUCUCCUCCUUAAUUUCAGAGAAGGCAAAAGCUCUGAAGGUGGCUUUAGAUCAUACAGCUGGAAAGUGAGGAAUGGGAGCCAAGAUUCAGACCCUGUGCUCUGAUCCAAGUGGUGUUUAUUACUGAAAUUAGGGCCUCGUGUGCUUUACUACGGAGUUCUAGCCUCAACCCUCUAUAAUUUAUAGAAACUAGUUCGGCAGAGGUAGGAGGAUCUCUGAGUUCAAAACCAGCCAGAUCUACAUAGCAAGCAAGUUCUAGGACAGUCAGAGUUACACAGAGGGACCUUGUCUUAGCUCCCCUGACUACCCCUCCUCCAGAAAAAGGUAAUUCAUUGCAAAAGGAGUAUUUAGAUUUUCACAGUCUGUAGGAUAGACACAGACACACACACACCAGUAUCAUAAAGAAAACUUCAGGGAGCUGGAGAGAUGGCUCAGUGGUUAAGAGCACUGGCUGCUCUUCCAGAGGUCCUGAGUUCAAUUCCCAGCAGCCACAUGGUGGCUCACAACCAUCUGCAAUGGGAUCUGAUGCCCUCUUCUGGUGUGUCUGAAGACAGCUAGUGUACUCAUAUAUAAUAUAAUACAUCUU